Molecule: long non-coding RNA, 564 nt
Filed under: Mytilus galloprovincialis (Mediterranean mussel)
Lineage: Eukaryota; Metazoa; Mollusca; Bivalvia; Mytilida; Mytilidae
Source: RNAcentral
UUACUUGUUUUGCUAUUUUUUUUUAAAAAACCUAAGGCCACUAGUGCUUUUAUGUCUUUUAUCAAGCAGGGAAUACACAAUUUAAAAAAUUUCUCAAAAAAUCAUUUUCAUCUGUAUGUAAAAUUAUUUCAUAUAUUUCUACAACUGAGUCAUCCCUCAGAUUAGGAAAGUAUGUUCAGUUGAUACUGUAUUUUUUGUCCAAGCACACCGUUCAGAUACAUUGACUUAGGUAGGGUACACAAAAGAGCAACCUGAAUUCUGGAAUGCAACUACUACCGUGCCACCUAAAAUCACUGUUAUCGAUAGCCGAUGACAAAGAAGUUAAAGGUAAAUAAUUUAGUAUUAUUACCAACAUAAGUAUUGCGGUUGUCCACGCUGUUACGAAAAGUAUUCUAUUAUCACAGAACAUUUGCAUUUGCAUGCACAACAUACUGUUGGUUGUGAGACCACCUAUUAAAUAAAAAAAAAUCACAAAAGUUGAUUUGAUAUUGCUCCUUUCUAUGAUAUGUUUAAUAAUAAUUGCGUCGAAAAUGCCUUUGCAUAGUUACACCAAUAGAAUGACAA